Molecule: small nucleolar RNA, 82 nt
Organism: Cornus florida
Lineage: Eukaryota; Viridiplantae; Streptophyta; Magnoliopsida; Cornales; Cornaceae
Product: small nucleolar RNA SNORD24
Exons: 1
Source: RefSeq, a predicted model, not a curated record
GGCCGGUGAUGUGAUAUUGAUAUUUGCUACUUUCCUCCUGAAUGCAUCUGAUGAUUUUGUAUCCACCAAGAUCUCUGAGGCC